Molecule: long non-coding RNA, 600 nt
Filed under: Triticum aestivum (bread wheat)
Lineage: Eukaryota; Viridiplantae; Streptophyta; Magnoliopsida; Poales; Poaceae
Description: long non-coding RNA (TAES_LNC028094)
Source: RNAcentral
AUGUCCACUCACUCACUUGCCUCUAAAAUAAGCUCCCACUCCUUUUCUGAAUUGAAUUAGGUCUCUGAAAUUUAAGCUUAUAGAACCUACAGUGUCAAUCAGGUCUCUAAAAUUUAAGCUUAUAGAACCUACAGUGUCAAUCAGGUCUCUGAAAUUUAAGCUUAUAGAACCUAGGAAAAGAUUAGAAUUAAAAUCUAACAGUGCUGACUGAUGGCCACAGUGCUGUUUUGCUGUGCUUGAUAAACCUGAGACUUCUUUUUAUUGUAAUAUUGAAGUUGUUUGGUUCUGGCCUCAGCAGCAGUACACUCUAAUUUUGGUGGCCUUUAUGUUCAUUAUUUUACAGGAGCUCCAGGCCUAUUUUUAUGGAGUGUGAAGCCGUGAAGCCAAGUGUGAAGCUGUGAAGCCAAGUGUGAAGCAGUACUUAGCAAAGAGUUUUUGGUUCUGUACUUAGCAAAGAGUUUUUGGUUCUGAAGUGUGAAGCCACGUGUAAAUUGUAAUAUUGUAAAAGUCUAAUGUAGUGUUAAUGAAUUAUAUCUGUUCUGUCCUAUUUGAAAUAAUGAUUAUGUAUGUUGAAAAGAUGUGAAAUGGAAACUUGACCAG